GACGAACGCUGGCGGAGUGCCUAAUGCAUGCAAGUUGAGCGAUGAAGAUUGGUGCUUGCACCAAUUUGAAGAGCAGCGAACGGGUGAGUAACGCGUGGGGAAUCUGCCUUUGAGCGGGGGACAACAUUUGGAAACGAAUGCUAAUACCGCAUAACAACUUUAAACAUAAGUUUUAAGUUUGAAAGAUGCAAUUGCAUCACUCAAAGAUGAUCCCGCGUUGUAUUAGCUAGUUGGUGAGGUAAAGGCUCACCAAGGCGAUGAUACAUAGCCGACCUGAGAGGGUGAUCGGCCACAUUGGGACUGAGACACGGCCCAAACUCCUACGGGAGGCAGCAGUAGGGAAUCUUCGGCAAUGGACGAAAGUCUGACCGAGCAACGCCGCGUGAGUGAAGAAGGUUGUCGGAUCGUAAAACUCUGUUGGUAGAGAAGAACGUUGGUGAGAGUGGAAAGCUCAUCAAGUGACGGUAACUACCCAGAAAGGGACGGCUAACUACGUG
RNAcentral lists this ribosomal RNA (497 nucleotides) under uncultured bacterium. RNAcentral describes it as "partial 16S ribosomal RNA". It matches the Rfam family "Bacterial small subunit ribosomal RNA", at positions 28 to 507 of the family's 1533-position model. The record is from RNAcentral.